Rhinichthys klamathensis goyatoka is the source of this 630-nucleotide long non-coding RNA. RefSeq lists it as uncharacterized. The record is from RefSeq and is a predicted model, not a curated record. NCBI's taxonomy places the organism in Eukaryota, Metazoa, Chordata, Actinopteri, Cypriniformes, Leuciscidae. The transcript is spliced from 3 exons.
UUGACCAAUCAAGUGUCUUAGUGUUGCUUUUAGCCAAUCAGAGCAGCAGAUGGUACUCGCUUCGAUUGAUGCUCCCGCGCUAAGCGACGUUUUGCUGCAGAAGGAGACGUUACUAAUACACGAUGCCGUUCCAGUUUGCCAUUUAUUACUUAUAUGAUAAAUCAUUGAAAGUGGAGAGCACAUUGAUCCUCGUAGAUAUAGACCAGCAUAGUCAAGUUACGUAAAAACCAGACCUUGAUGGAGACGAGAAUUGGCUGGAAAUAAAGUGGCCUUCACGUAAAGAACCAGAGAAGACAGUGCCCGCAAAAGUCUUGCUGUUUGGAGAUUCGUUCCAAGACCUCGUCAUGAAGAAAAACUUACUACUUUUGGGAAAGGACAUAUGGAACCAGGAUGAAAGCAGGGGCGUUUGUGUCAAAAAGAAAAUGUUGGACACCAGCAAGCUAAACGAGGCCAAAAAAGGCAGGCUGCAAAAGCAAACCAAGAUCAAAGAGGCAGCCAGAGACAAGAUGUUACAAAAACUGAAGAAUUCACUUUCUCAGAGCAGGGCCGUAGACACACAAGAUCAAAACACCAGCUCUGAGGAUGAAGUUCCACAAUGUCUUCAUAAUGUAUGCAUACUGUCUUAUUGAG